CAGGUCUUGACGUAGAUACAGAUACGAGACACACCCAGAUGAUGUCACAAGCAGCUAUAUGUAAACAGAGCAGAGCUCAGGUGACAUCACAGAACAGGCAGAGGCCGUUCAGGGGGUAUUCUGGUUGCCUUACCCAGCUCUGAAGUCUGUCAGCCUCUUCAGAUGUCACUUGCCCUGUGGUAAGGAAGUGUAGUUGGCAGCUGGUGCAGUGGCAAGAAGAGAAAGGAAGUUCCCCAAGACAGAAACAUCUCGGCAGGUUUGGAAUAGUUCACCAGUGAAGUCAUCUCAACCAGCACAGGGCCUUGACUCCUAACAACAAUCACACGAACUUGGAAGAGGAUCCUUCCCCAGCUGAAACUUCACUUGAGACCUUCUCAUUGGCCAUCAUCGACAUCUGGAUUCAUGAUACAGAGAAACUUGAGUAAUGAUGACAAUAGCAGUCCAGCCUGCAUGGAUGCUGACAUGGAUGCUGUCUCCCAUUCUUACCACUGGAUGUCAAGAACUGCUAGAUGCGAUCCAGCCAGUCUGUACUCGACUCUCAGUUCCAUCUUCUCAACUCACAGUGUCUUCCAAAGUCCAUGCCACACCACAGCCUGGAAGAUCUCCCAAGGUGGUAUCUUGAGGCAAUGGUAGAGCUCAUGUCACAGUAUUGUAUGCCUCAGGCUUUGAAUAACUCACCAGUGAAGUCAUCUUGACCUGGACAGAAAUUGAAUCCUCCCAAGAAUCCCAGGAGCUUGGAAGGGGAUCCUUCCCCAGAUGAGCCUUCCCUUGAAAUCUCUGCCAGGCAUCUGACCCAGAGAAACU
This 804-nucleotide long non-coding RNA is filed under the name Homo sapiens (human). Its description in RNAcentral is "non-protein coding lnc-NPAP1-9:6". Lineage: Eukaryota; Metazoa; Chordata; Mammalia; Primates; Hominidae. The record is from RNAcentral.